RNAcentral lists this unclassified non-coding RNA (223 nucleotides) under uncultured fungus. RNAcentral describes it as "sequence contains ITS1". Lineage: Eukaryota; Fungi. The record is from RNAcentral.
UUGAUUGAUUUGUUUUUUCUCAGACUGCAAAGUAUACAGAGUUUGGUCUCCGACGGACGGAGGGGCGUCUACUAUAAAAAGAGGCCGCCACCCGCACAGAUCCUCGCGUUACAAGUAACCCGACGACCCACAUCCGUCAAAGCAACGGGUAAUACACAAGGGUGGAGACCGUGAAAAAUCACAGAACUCGGUAAUGAUCCUUCCGCAGGUUCACCUACGGAAA